Streptomyces sp. MnatMP-M17 is the source of this 57-nucleotide transfer RNA. It matches the Rfam family "tRNA", at positions 1 to 56 of the family's 71-position model. From Rfam's summary of the family: Transfer RNA (tRNA) molecules are approximately 80 nucleotides in length. Lineage: Bacteria; Bacillati; Actinomycetota; Actinomycetes; Kitasatosporales; Streptomycetaceae. The record is from Rfam.
GGGCGAUUAGCUCAGUGGGAGAGCGCUUCGUUCACACCGAAGAGGUCACUGGUUCGA